This is a non-coding RNA of Rattus norvegicus (Norway rat), 58 nucleotides long. NCBI's taxonomy places the organism in Eukaryota, Metazoa, Chordata, Mammalia, Rodentia, Muridae. The record is from Rfam.
UGGCUCAGUGGUUAAGAGCACUGACUGCUUUUCCAGAGGUCCUGGGUUCAAAUCCCAG